GAUGAACGCUGGCGGCGUGCCUAAUACAUGCAAGUCGAGCGAACAGACGAGGAGCUUGCUCCUCUGACGUUAGCGGCGGACGGGUGAGUAACACGUGGAUAACCUACCUAUAAGACUGGGAUAACUUCGGGAAACCGGAGCUAAUACCGGAUAAUAUAUUGAACCGCAUGGUUCAAUAGUGAAAGACGGUUUUGCUGUCACUUAUAGAUGGAUCCGCGCCGCAUUAGCUAGUUGGUAAGGUAACGGCUUACCAAGGCAACGAUGCGUAGCCGACCUGAGAGGGUGAUCGGCCACACUGGAACUGAGACACGGUACAGACUCCUACGGGAGGCAGCAGUAGGGAAUCUUCCGCAAGGGGCGAAAGCCUGACGGAGCAACGCCGCGUGAGUGAUGAUGGUCUUCGGAUCGUAAAACUCUGUUAUUAGGGAAGAACAAAUGUGUAAGUAACUAUGCACGUCUUGACGGUACCUAAUCAGAAAGCCACGGCUAACUACGUG
RNAcentral lists this ribosomal RNA (497 nucleotides) under uncultured bacterium. RNAcentral describes it as "partial 16S ribosomal RNA". It matches the Rfam family "Bacterial small subunit ribosomal RNA", at positions 28 to 507 of the family's 1533-position model. The record is from RNAcentral.